RNAcentral lists this ribosomal RNA (484 nucleotides) under uncultured bacterium. Its description in RNAcentral is "partial 16S ribosomal RNA". It matches the Rfam family "Bacterial small subunit ribosomal RNA", at positions 30 to 507 of the family's 1533-position model. The record is from RNAcentral.
AUUGAACGCUGGCGGCAGGCCUAACACAUGCAAGUCGAGCGGAUGAAGGGAGCUUGCUCCUGGAUUCAGCGGCGGACGGGUGAGUAAUGCCUAGGAAUCUGCCUGGUCGUGGGGGAUAACGUCCGGAAACGGGCGCUAAUACCGCAUACGUCCUGAGGGAGAAAGUGGGGGAUCUUCGGACCUCACGCUAUCAGAUGAGCCUAGGUCGGAUUAGCUAGUUUGUGGGGUAAAGGCCUACCAAGGCGACGAUCCGUAACUGGUCUGAGAGGAUGAUCAGUCACCCUGGACCUGAGACACGGUCCAGACUCCUACGGGAGGCAGCAGUGGGGAAUAUUGGACAAUGGGCGAAAGCCUGAUCCAGCCAUGCCGCGUGUGUGAAGAAGGUCUUCGGAUUGUAAAGCACUUUAAGUUGGGAGGAAGGGCAGUAAGUUAAUACCUUGCUGGUUUGACGUUACCAACAGAAUAAGCACCGGCUAACUUCGUG